Pangasianodon hypophthalmus (striped catfish) is the source of this 5430-nucleotide long non-coding RNA. RefSeq lists it as uncharacterized. The record is from RefSeq and is a predicted model, not a curated record. NCBI's taxonomy places the organism in Eukaryota, Metazoa, Chordata, Actinopteri, Siluriformes, Pangasiidae. The transcript is spliced from 8 exons.
UGUAGUAAAGAAGCAGAGCAGCAUUAAAAAUCCUAGCAAAAUAUUAAAUGGAGUGCCAGAAAACUGUACACAUUGGUGAAUUCCCUGCUCAAAGACAUCUCAUUCAACUCAGCAAUAAAUGAUCAGGUUCAGCAGGUGUCAGAGCAGGGAAAUCACCACCAUGUGCAGGACUCCAUGACAAUAACUGAAAGUAUGAGAGAUGUACAGGCUGGAGGAGAAGAUUUCUGCUUAACUAAACUCAUUCUGUUUAUAGACCUAGAAUUGGGGAAGGAGCACAUCAGUGAUGACAGCUAGAGCCACAGGAUGACAGAACAUGUAAUUUACACAAACAUGCAGGUGGUGGUAGGAGAUACACAAGCAAUAAGAGAGAAGACAUGUCAUUGUCCCAAUCUAAGGUCAACAAAAGGAGCAAAGACAAACAUUAGGCUAAUUUGGUGAUACGCUGAAUCAGGAUGGCAGCCAAAAAAACAAAGGUGGACUUUAGGAGCUACUUUACAACAAGUUAAAGUGUGACAGAAGCACAGAAGCAGCCCUGCCAGGUAGUAGCUCAGACAGAGCAGGAAGAGAGGCAGGAAGAGAGGCAGGGUCACAAGUGAGGUGAGGCCUAGGCUUGUAACAAUGUGAUUAUAAAUGUAAAUGUAGAUAUUUGUUUUGUAUUACAAUGAGGUUGCACUGGUAUACUAAGAUGUCUAUUAAGCACUCAAUCAUCCAUGGUUUUAAUAAUGUGGGCAUGAAUACUGUACUAUGUAUAUAAAAUAUAUUAAAUAAGUGGUUACUAGCAUCAUCAGUGUGUAGAUGUAUUUUUCACAUGCAGUAGUUGAUAGAGUGGCUAAUUGUGGUGUAUUUCUAAGGAAACUGAUCCAGCUGUAGACAGCAAUAGACAGAGUAGCAGUGAGAGCAACAACAAUAAAGAACAGAGUGACAACAAUGAAGAACAGUGCAGAACUGGAGAUAAUCUGGACUUUGAAGUCAAACCAAACCAACCUCACCCAAAACACAUUGCAGUUCCAAAUCUGGCAAAUAGAGUCCUCCAUUUUAAGGAAAAUUGGUACAAGCAGUAUCCAUGGCUUCACUAUAGCCUCACUGUGAAUGGAAUUCUCUGUUUUCACUGUGUGAAAACAUACACAAUAAAGAAAAGUACUCUGUCCAAAAAAGGUAGACCCUGCAUUCUCCUCAAAGGGAUACAGUAACUGGAAGAAUAUUCUUGUUAGAUUUGAAUGCCACCGGAAUAGUAAAUCCCAUCAUCAUGCAGUCCAGUUAGUGCUCAAGAACCAACCCCAGUAGAUUCAAAACUCUCAAGUGCCUGGACAAAACUACAAGAAGAUGCUAGGCACUGCCUGCAAAAUAUUGUAGGUUCAAUACAGUACCUUGCUAGGCAGGGUGUGGCACUGUAAGCUCAUGAAACGCAAGAUAGGAAUCUUUUUCAGCUUUUGAAAAGCCAAGGAUGAUGUCCGUCUCUCUAGCUGGCUAUCUCGUUGUCAUAACUAUACUGCUCCUUCAGUGCAAAAUGAAAUUUUGCAAUUGUUAGGAAAUUGUAUCCAUGGUCUAUCUAGUCUCUACCAGUUUUGCAGUACUCAAUCAUUAUAGAUGGCACUCAGUGUGUCUCAGGACUGGAGCAAGAAUCUAUAUGUUUUAGAUAUGUGGACCAUGACCUGGUACCAAAUAAGGUUUUUGUUGGUUUGUAUGAAGUCCCUGGCACUACAGGAGAGGAGAUUGCUAGAGUGGAUGUGGAUGUCCUCUUGAGGCUAAAUAUUCCCAUGUCUGGUUUAAGGGGUCAGACAUAUGUUGAUGCAGCCAAUAUGUCAGGAAGACAUUCAGGAGCACAAGCAGAACUAAAGAGACAGCAACCAUUGACUUUGUAUGUGCAUUGUGGGUCACACUGUCUUAAUUUGAUUACACAGUCUGCUUGCCUAGCCAGUCCCGUGAUACGUGAUGCCUUGCAGUGGGUCCAUGAGCUAGGGACAUUAAGCCAACAUUCUGGAAAAUUCAAAGCCAUAUUUUCAGCAGUAGCAGCAGGUUCAGAAGGACCAAAAACAUCACGCAGUCCACUGUGCCCAGUGAGGCUGUCCACUGUGAGGCUGUGUUACAGCUAAAAGAGACAAGACCUGCAACUGUGGGAGAAGUGAGGGCACUCAUUGGCUUCCUUAGUUAUUAUCUAUUAUGCCCCUACUUUCGAUGUAUUAACAGAUAAAAAUUCACUCACUUACAUUCUCAGUAUGGUAAUACUCAAUGCAGAUGGGGAUCAAAGGGUUGGAGAAUUGGCAGAUCUUCAUUUUGAUCAAAAGUAUCAGCCCAGUAAGACAAAUGUAGAUGCUGACACACUCUCAUUUUCCUGUCCCCCUUGAUGAUCAAAUUAGAGAAUAUACAGAAAGUUUGUCUCCAGAAGUUAUCACAGCAGUGGGACAAGGGAACAGGGUUGUUAAAUAUGUUGUUCCCUGGAUGGCCGCUUUGCAGCUGGCCUCUGUUGGCAAUGUUUUACCCAUAGGCAUAUCUGUGAUCACAUCUCAGGACAUCAGGAAUGCACAGCAAGAGGAUUUGGCCAUUAAAAACUAAUUAACUUGAAAAGAAAAUCAUGGAAUCUGAAUGAGCUGGUAAGAGUCAGAUAUCCAAGGAUGUCUGAAAGAGUCAGGGAGGAGACAAGGAGAUUGGUUUGUGAAUGGAACAAGCUCAUUGUAGAUGAAAGAGUAUUGUACAAACAAGCAGGGGCACAGAUCGUUUUACCCCAUAAGUUUAAGCCCUUCAUUCUCAAACAUUCUUGUUCUUGUUGAUCAUUUUACUCAUUUUGCACAAGCUUACCCAACAAAAAAAUAGGUCUGGCAAGACAGCAGCUGAGAAAAUAUUUAAGGAUUUCUUUCCCCGUUUCAGAUUUCCUGAGAAAUUACGCCACGAUCAAGUAAUAAAAUAAGUCCUAAAAUUAGAAAAAAGUUUAUUUCAAAUAAUUCAGCAAUUGGUGGGUAUUUUACACUCUCGUGCAACUCCAUACCACUCCCAGGGAAUUCCAGUCGAAAGAGUGAACCAUACACUUCUUCAAAUGCUUUGUACACUGCAAGAAGAGAAAAAAAUCAGGCUGGAAAGCUCAUCUCCCCCAUAUAGAUCAUGCAUAUAUUCGCACCAAACAUAAAGCAACAGAAUUCUCCCUGUUCUUGCUUCUUUUUACCUGAUGAUCUGCUUUUUGACAUGAAAAUGGAGAGUGAAAGCAAAACUAAACAAGAAUUUGCACAAAACUGGGUAGCCAGGACGCAAGAAGCCUAUAAAAUUGCAUUAGAAAACAGUCAAAAGCAUUAACAUGAUAAAGGUGUGAAAGGGGCUGCACUUCCACCCAGCUAUUGAGUGCUUGUUCAGAACCUCUUGGAGAAAUACUGCUGUAUUUAAUACUGUAUGUAAGUUUGGCACACACCAAAUGACCUAUAGCCUACCGUUUCUACCGAAUUGCCUCCUAAUGAAUAGCUGCAUAAUUGGGUGAUUUGUAAUACAUUGCACAAUUAUCAUAACAUUUAGCACCAUAUUAAAUGACGGUGCAGCCUCUUUAUAAUGGCAACUACUAAUAUUCCUACUCUUGGAGCUUGGGUCUUAGAUCUCUUCUGAGAUUAGGGACAAGAUCAGGUCUAUGUGGAGAGCCGGACACUUUCUGACCAACAUCAGGGGUUUCUUGUUGCAGUCAGGUGUGUGCGUUUCCAACUUAACUCCUGCAACUAAAAAACCAACUGUACUGAAAAUGAACAGUGUAUCACUACAAGCUCUUGAUGAUAUACUGAAUGAGAAUGAUGAGUGGUCUGCUAGAAAUAUUCAGAGUGAGCUUCAGUCCCGAUUGAAAUUGCGAGUACGAACCAGUACCAUCAGGAGACGCGUAAAGAACUUGGGUGGACAUACGGCAAAGCCCGGACAGACUGUGACAACAACAAGGCCCUGCAUCUUACCCAAGUUCAGCAGUGGAUGGCUGCCAAAGAGAUAUUCAACAAUGUAAUCUUCUCUGACGAAUCAGUGGUGGCUUUGGUGUACUUUGCUUUGAUAUGCUAUAAGAAAAAAGGUCGGGACCUUGUGAAACUGAAAGCUAAGCAUCCUAUUAAGCCUCUAGUUGUCUUCAAGGUUUAUUCAACCCAAUACAGCAACAUUGAAUCUUUUCAUGCCAAUGAUUGUAAUUUUAUUAAUUUACAUCUACAUCUUUGAUUUAUCCUCAGGAAUUAUGGGCCGUGAAUGCAUCAUAAAAUCUAAUUUGGUGCUAUAAAUAGGGAAAAACUUCAAAGAACCUCAUCACUUCUUCCAAGACAAUGACCUGAAACAUAUAGCGGUCAGACAGUGUAUUGCUGAGGAGGGGUCAACUAGGUGAAAACACCAAAUCCCUGGACCAACCAAACUGAGCUGGUUUGGCACACACUGAAGGAGUUUGUCAGACGCAAGGCCAAGCCAAAGAGUAAAGAUGAGCUUCUUCAAGUUAUUGUGACUUUCUGGACAGAUUGCCUGACAUAAUACAUUGACCACAGGUACACAGGUACACCGACCACCUUCAGAAAGUUAUGCCAACUGUGGUUGAGUGUAAUGGCGGCUCAUCUAGAAUCUAGCAAAUUUAUUGUACUGUUGCCAUUAAUUAGUAAAUAAACUGCUUGACCACUAUAGCCUACUAUCUCCAAUUUCUAUAAGUACAACAAAGAAUAGGAAAAGCUAAUGGUUGUUAUUGAGUUAUGUGCCAACAUCAGUUAGUCAGCUCAAGCUUUACAUUAAAUAGGUACAUGAUGCUUAAAAUAAUUAAAGAACAGAAAGCACACAAAGUUAUUACUGUAUUGUAUGCGGGUCAGUGACGGUAAAGAAAUCUGAAAGGGCAAAUUAAUUUUUUUUAUUUUUGUUCUGUGUGAUUUCUAAAAAACUGUUCAGAAACCUUGGACCUGAUUAGAACCGGUCAGAGCUGCAGCAAGUGUCCAUAUUUACACCACGUAUUUACACCAUUUCCACAGAAAUGGUGCUGGUUCUCAAGCCUGACCCAGUGCUAGGACGACAGCUGGGGGAAUUGCAAAUCGCUUUCAGAACCGGCCCACACCUUCCACAUAAAAUUGCUGAUAUUUAUUAUAUAAAAAUAGAUCUGAUUACACAUUUUGCCAUUGACGUCUAUGCCUCCCCACUCUUAGGUGUAUUGUUGACUCUCACACUGGGGUCAAAAGUGUGAAACAUUUGCAGUGUGGAGAUAAGAAACGUGAAAAGGCAACUGGCAAUAAAGACAAUAGACUAAAUGGGAGCUUAGAGAAUGAGUUUAUUUAAACUAUUUACAUGAUAGGGUCUUAUAAAUGUUUAUAAAAACUCUAAGUUUUAUCAUCCAUCACUGCCAUGUUAAUGGUCCAUAAAACAUUUGCAUUUUAGCAACAAUUCAAUUUUAUUUUCAUAGUAUUUGUUUAUUUGAACGAUAAACCCACAGAGAUAUUGGCUUAAGGUUUUGAAAAA